GGAUAACCUGCCCUAUUGUCUGGAAUAACCUCGGGAAACUGAGAACAAGGCCGGAUAGCCCACAAUGCCUGGAACGGUUUGUGGGUGAAGAUAGGAUGGGUCUGCGGCGUAUCAGGUCGUAGGGGGUGUAAUGGACCUCCUAGCCAUCGACGCGUACGGGUGUUGGGAGACAUAGCCCGGAGAUGGAUUCUGAGACACGAAUCCAGACCCUACGGGGUGCAGCAGGCGCGAAAACUUCACACUGCAGGAAACUGUGAUGAGGGAACUCCAAGUGCUAUCACUAUGUGGUAGCUUUUCUUGACUAUUAAUCGGUCAUGGAAUAAGGGCUGGGAAAGACCGGUGCCAGCCGCCGCGGUAAUACCGGCAGCUCAAGUGGUCGUCGCUUUUAUUGGGCCUAAAACGUCCGUAGCCUGUUUGGUAAAUCUGUGGGUAAAUCAACCAGCUUAACUGGUUGAAUUCUGCAGAGACUGCCAGACUAGGGACCGGGAGAGGUGUGGGGUACUCUAGGGGUAGGGGUAAAAUCCUGUCAUCCUUAGAGGACCACCAGUUGCGAAGGCGCCACACUGGAACGGAUCCGACGGUCAGGGACGAAGCCUAGGGGCACGAACCGGAUUAGAUACCCGGGUAGUCCUAGGUGUAAACGCUGUGAACUUGGUGUCGGGGAUCCGUAAUGGGUCCUCGGUGCCGGAGUGAAGAUGUUAAGUUCACUGCCUGGGGAGUACGGUCGCAAGGCUGAAACUU
This 741-nucleotide ribosomal RNA is filed under the name uncultured Candidatus Poseidoniales archaeon. RNAcentral's name for it is "bacterial SSU rRNA". It matches the Rfam family "Archaeal small subunit ribosomal RNA", at positions 102 to 857 of the family's 1478-position model. The record is from RNAcentral. Lineage: Archaea; Methanobacteriati; Thermoplasmatota; Candidatus Poseidoniia; Candidatus Poseidoniales.